GACGAACGCUGGCGGCGUGCUUAACACAUGCAAGUCGAGCGGUAAGGCCCUUUCGGGGGUACACGAGUGGCGAACGGGUGAGUAACACGUGGGUGACCUGCCCUCAGCUCUGGGAUAAGCCUGGGAAACCGGGUCUAAUACCGGAUAUGACUCCAUGACGCAUGUUGUGGGGUGGAAAGCCUUGUGCGGCUGAGGAUGGGCCCGCGGCCUAUCAGCUUGUUGGUGGGGUGAUGGCCUACCAAGGCGACGACGGGUAGCCGGCCUGAGAGGGCGACCGGCCACACUGGGACUGAGACACGGCCCAGACUCCUACGGGAGGCAGCAGUGGGGAAUCUUGCGCAAUGGGCGAAAGCCUGACGCAGCGACGCCGCGUGAGGGAUGACGGCCU
RNAcentral lists this ribosomal RNA (388 nucleotides) under uncultured bacterium. RNAcentral's name for it is "bacterial SSU rRNA". It matches the Rfam family "Bacterial small subunit ribosomal RNA", at positions 28 to 417 of the family's 1533-position model. The record is from RNAcentral.